This 239-nucleotide ribosomal RNA is filed under the name uncultured bacterium. RNAcentral's name for it is "partial 16S ribosomal RNA". It matches the Rfam family "Bacterial small subunit ribosomal RNA", at positions 118 to 353 of the family's 1533-position model. The record is from RNAcentral.
UGAGUAACCUGCCUUUCAGAGGGGAAUAACAUUCUGAAAAGGAUGCUAAUACCGCAUGACAUCGUAGUAUCGCAUGGUACAGCGAUCAAAGGAGCAAUCCGCUGAAAGAUGGACUCGCGUCCGAUUAGCUAGUUGGCGGGAUAAAGGCCCACCAAGGCGACGAUCGGUAGCCGGACUGAGAGGUUGAUCGGCCACAUUGGGACUGAGACACGGCCCAGACUCCUACGGGAGGCAGCAUG